Molecule: ribosomal RNA, 300 nt
Filed under: uncultured bacterium
Lineage: Bacteria
Description: bacterial SSU rRNA
Rfam family: Bacterial small subunit ribosomal RNA
Source: RNAcentral
CCUACGGGAGGCAGCAGCCGCGGUAAAACGUAGGAGGCGAGCGUUAUCCGGAAUCACUGGGCGUAAAGGGCGUCUAGGCGGCACGACAAGUGAGGUGUGAAAGCUCCUGGCUCAACUAGGAGAGUGCGCUUCAGACUGUCGAGCUUGGAGGGCAGGUGAAGGGGGUGGAAUUCCCGGUGGAGUGGUGGAAUGCGUAGAGAUCGGGAGGAACACCAGUGGCGAAAGCGGCCCCCUGGCCUGUUGCUGACGCUGAAGCGCGAAAGCGUGGGGAGCAAACGGGAUUAGGAACCCGAGUAGUCC